Molecule: non-coding RNA, 24 nt
Filed under: Cricetulus griseus (Chinese hamster)
Lineage: Eukaryota; Metazoa; Chordata; Mammalia; Rodentia; Cricetidae
Source: RNAcentral
AUCUUCUGGAGGAUAGGUAGGAUC